UAAUCACUAAGGCCUGUGUUUUUAUGUGGC
Molecule: non-coding RNA, 30 nt
Filed under: Rattus norvegicus (Norway rat)
Lineage: Eukaryota; Metazoa; Chordata; Mammalia; Rodentia; Muridae
Source: RNAcentral